CGGUGGUGAUGGUGAGCUCGUUGCUCGGGUUGCUGUUGCCGAUGAUGUUCUUGGCGACCAUGCGGAUGUUGUAGGUGGACGACGGGUGGAGGUCGAUGAUCGUGGCCUGGUUGAGCUGCGGCGACACGUCUUUGGUCACCUGGGCCGAAAGCCAAGACGCUGGAGAGAGACGGAGAGAGGAGCUGCGGCCGAGUCCGAGGUGUGUGUGUGUGUCUAUGUGUGUGUGUGUGUGAGACCUUACCUUGCACCGUCAGCUGUAUGAUGCCUCGGUCCUCGCCGAAGGAGUUGAUGGCGUGACAGGAGAAGAACCCCGAGUCCUCACGAACUGUCGGCAUAAUCUGCAGAGACACGCGACACAUGCGGAGCUUUCAGGUGGACGUGCAGAGAGUCAAAAGACCACCUCGCAACUGUUAUAGAUACAAACCACAGAGGGCGUUUGAUUUACAGUGUAAAAAAGACGAGAGAAGUGAGGGACCCACCACCAGCGUGGAGACGACUUCGUCGGCCACCUCCUUGACGGUGACCACGUAGCGGCUGGUCUCGGGGUUGAUGAUGCGCUCCUCCUUCUCCCAGCGCACCAUGAUGGGCUUCUCUCCGUGAGCGAUGCAGCUCAUCUUCUUCUCCUCGCCCUGCGUGGCCAGGGUGGUGUUGGGGUACGAGGUGAUCAUGGCGGGGACUGGAGGGAAGAGGAUGGACAGUCACAUGAGUUGAAAUAGAUGGUUUUAAAAUCCUUUUUAUGAAGCACAUGCUGUCGAAGAGCAUUUUUAAGUGUGUAGCUCUUCCACCGAGCUCCAUUUGAACAAUGAAAGCUUUUAAAAUGCCACGCGUGCCAUAAGAUAGGAUAAGACUUUAUUAAUCCCACUUGUUUCAGCAGCAGCAUCAGGAAAAGAUGUAGAAAUAUCGCAAAUAUAGCAAAAAUAUACAAUAAACUAUAGAAGGGAAAAGGACUUGAAAAAAAAGCUAUAUACAUUUAGACAAAGUGUAAGUAGUAAAUGAAUAUGCAUAUUUGUAUGUAUGUGUUGGACAAGAUAUAGGAUGUAUUUCACAGGAUAACUUCUGCAGUUGUGGUAGAUAUAGACGACUAUGAAAAGUAUAUACACACAUAUAUGCUGUACAUAUAUACAUCUAUACACACACAUAUAUAUAUACACACACACACACAUAUAAAUAUAUAUGUACAAUGUAUUUGUAUUGUAAAUCUCCUACUCCCUAACAUCGAUAUCGGCUCCCAACAAUCCAUAUCUGUGGCGCUGUAGUUUCCAGCAGCAGCUGCAGUAUCUGUUACCUGUACAGUAUCUACAGUAAACACACUGUAGUGAACAACUGUGUCACUGUAAAUGACAGUAACUUCUGAUACGUGUGGCAGACACUGUACCAGAGCUGCAGUUUGUGUGUGUGUGUGUGUGAGUCACUGUCUGUACACUCCUGAAUAAUGUGUGUGCGUGGAUGUAUUUUACUCAAGAGUGCAUAUGUAUGAAACGUGUGUGUGUGUGUGUGUGUGUGUGUGUGUGUGUCUGGGAGAGCUAAGUGGGCGAGCACAGAGAGCAGAGAAGACUUGUGCUCAUGACACAUCUCAGCCACACUACACGACGGAGGAGAGCGAGCGAGCAUGUUCCCCUGCAGCGCAAACUAUGAUCCCUCUCUCUCUCUCUCUCUCUCUCUCUCUCUCUCUCUCUCUCUCUCACUCCAUCUCCCUCCUCGGGUUCCCACCAGGACAGUGAUGAUUUAAUGAUGAGAGAGAGACCACUUUGAUUAUUCAUACGCAUGGCCGAGCUGUCGUGUCACACACACGCACACACACACACACACACACAUAUAAAGGACAACACACACGAAUUGCAAAUUCAGAAAUAUAAAAACUAACGGCAAAAAAACACACACAAAUAAGCAUAAACACAUAAUCAUGGUUUUAGAAAUACACACACACUUGCAGAGUUGGGGGGGGGUUAAACGGUAUUCGUGGAUGACUUUAAAAUAAUUUGUUGUGGCUCGUCUGGCACUCGAAGCGGCGGGAAGGUUAAACAAUCACUGGUCGAUCACUGACAAUUAAAGUCGAGUGUCUGAAAUUAGAACGAGUCGUUUCAUUUACUG
Molecule: long non-coding RNA, 2091 nt
Organism: Scophthalmus maximus (turbot)
Lineage: Eukaryota; Metazoa; Chordata; Actinopteri; Pleuronectiformes; Scophthalmidae
Exons: 3
Source: RefSeq, a predicted model, not a curated record